AACGCUGGCGGCGUGCCUAAUACAUGCAAGUCGAGCGAACAGAUAAGGAGCUUGCUCCUUUGACGUUAGCGGCGGACGGGUAAGUAACACGUGGGUAACCUACCUAUAAGACUGGAAUAACUCCGGGAAACCGGGGCUAAUGCCGGAUAGCAUUUAGAACCGCAUGGUUCUAAAGUGAAAGAUGGUUUUGCUAUCACUUAUAGAUGGACCCGCGCCGUAUUAGCUAGUUGGUAAGGUAACGGCUUACCAAGGCAACGAUACGUAGCCGACCUGAGAGGGUGAUCGGCCACACUGGAACUGAGACACGGUCCAGACUCCUACGGGAGGCAGCAGUAGGGAAUCUUCCGCAAUGGGCGAAAGCCUGACGGAGCAACGCCGCGUGAGUGAUGAAGGUCUUCGGAUCGUAAAGCUCUGUUAUUAGGGAAGAACAAAUGUGUAAGUAACUGUGCACGUCUUGACGGACCUAAUCAGAAGCCACGGCUAACUA
This 487-nucleotide ribosomal RNA is filed under the name Lactobacillus kefiranofaciens. Its description in RNAcentral is "bacterial SSU rRNA". It matches the Rfam family "Bacterial small subunit ribosomal RNA", at positions 32 to 503 of the family's 1533-position model. Lineage: Bacteria; Bacillati; Bacillota; Bacilli; Lactobacillales; Lactobacillaceae. The record is from RNAcentral.